RNAcentral lists this unclassified non-coding RNA (870 nucleotides) under Hevea brasiliensis (rubber tree). Lineage: Eukaryota; Viridiplantae; Streptophyta; Magnoliopsida; Malpighiales; Euphorbiaceae. The record is from RNAcentral.
UCUCUCUCUCUCUCUCUUUUCCCCUUUUUUUUAACUCUAUUUUAGGCAUUUGGUCUCUGGCUAUGCUAAUUAUGAUUGAGGUGUGCAUAAUAACAGGCCAAAUUAUUCUGGAUCAACUCACUCGUGUAACAAAUAACAAGCUGGUCUAUUGUGCGCUAAUCCUCGCGUUGUAUUUUCAUUAAAAAUAGAAAUAAACAAUAUAAAUUAAAUGAAUUUAUGCAUUUUACUACCCCAAGAUCCCACUUGAAUCUUGUGCGAACUUGUGAAUAUAAGGGUCAUUUGCUUGAUAUGUUCUCCCAUUUGACACAUAAAAUAGUUGGUUGAGAGUUGAAGUAACAGCAAAUAAAAGGUGUGAACCCAUGGGACUCAAAAACAAAGUUUGCCACUGCCCGUGCGGUUCUGGAAGCACUUGAAACUUCCAGCAACAAAAUUCAAUUUAAUGCCAGCAAUUGUGGGUUGGGGUUAAAAACAGUGAUUGUGUAAUGGUUGGAUGAUUUUAACUGAAGGACUUGGAGUGAGACGGUGAAGAAAAGUUUUAGCAAAUGUAUACACUUUAUGAGCUAGACAAGUUUGGUGGCAGAAUUUAGUUUGGUGGCAGAAUUGUACACGCUUAUAGCAAGCAUCCAUUUACGGAUUUUGAUUGUGACUACUUCAUUUAUGCCCUAUUGAUGUUGCCAUGAGUCUCUGAUUAUUAGUCCAAUAUGUCAAAUUAGCCUAUCAAACAAAGAAAAUAGUAAGGUCAGUGGUCUAUUGGUCAAUUACUCCAGUACUUAAGUUAAAGAUGCUAAUAGAGAGUUGUAGAGUGAAUAAUAGUAAAUUUUGUAAUUAAUAAAAUAAAUGUAUUUGAUUAAUGUCUAUUUCUCAUAUUUA